CCCCACGUGGCCCCUCGCGGCCUUGGCCUGCUCCCUGCUCGCCGCCAUCUUGGGCGUGACCCUCUGGUGCCGCCGACGUCACUUCCGGGGGGCGGAACCGGAAGUGUCCCCACCGCCUAAAGGAAUCGGGGGAGGGGCAGGCAACGAGUACGGACCGGAACCGGAAGUGGGAGCCUUCGACCAAUCAGAAGCCGACGAUGAAUGGGGCGGAUAUGAGGAGGUCCCGCCCCUCGUGACCCCGGAAGGAGAACUGGUGUGAAGGGGGCGGGGUCAAGACGAGGUCACGCCCUCAUUUGAAUAAACCCCUCCCCCCAUCGGAGCUGA
This is a long non-coding RNA of Melopsittacus undulatus (budgerigar), 324 nucleotides long. RefSeq lists it as uncharacterized. The record is from RefSeq and is a predicted model, not a curated record. NCBI's taxonomy places the organism in Eukaryota, Metazoa, Chordata, Aves, Psittaciformes, Psittaculidae. The transcript has 3 exons.